Molecule: ribosomal RNA, 441 nt
Filed under: uncultured bacterium
Lineage: Bacteria
Description: bacterial SSU rRNA
Rfam family: Bacterial small subunit ribosomal RNA
Source: RNAcentral
AACGCGAAGAACCUUACCUGGGUUUGACAUCUCCUGACAACCGUAGAGAUACGGCUUCUGUAGCAAUACAGCAGGAUGACAGGUGCUGCAUGGCUGUCGUCAGCUCGUGUGGUGACAUGUUGGGUUAAGUCCCGCAACGAGCGCAACCCUUGUCUUUAGUUGCCAUCAUUCAGUUGGGCUCUCUAAAGAGACUGCCGUGGUUAACACGGAGGAAGGUGGGGAUGACGUCAAGUCCUCAUGGCCUUUAUAUCCAGGGCGACACACGUGAUACAAUGGACGGUACAGAGGGACGCCAAGAGGCAACUCGGAGCUAAUCUCAAAAAGCCGUUCUCAGUUCGGAUUGGAGUCUGCAACUCGACUCCAUGAAGUUGGAAUCGCUAGUAAUCGCGGAUCAGCACGCCGCGGUGAAUACGUUCCCGGGCCUUGUACACACCGAGUAUA